CCUACGGGUGGCAGCAGUCGGGAAUAUUGCGCAAUGGACGAGACUCUGACGCAGUGACGCCGCGUGCAGGAAGACGGUUUUCUGGUUGUUAACUGUCUUAGACAGGGAAGAAAAAAGACAGUACCUUUAGAAUAAGCUCCGGCUCAAUGCGGGCCAGCAGCCGCGGUAAUACGUAGGGAGCAAGCGUUAUCCGGAUUUAUUGGGGUUAAAGGGUGCGUAGACGGAGAAGCAAGUUAGUUGUGAAAUCCCACGGCUUAAAUGAGGAACUGCAACUCAACCUAGUUCCCUUGAGUACUGGAGAGGAAAGUGGAAUUCGUGGUGUAGCGGUGAAAUGCGUAGAUAUUAGGAGGAACACCGGUGGCGAAGGCGACUUUCUGGACAGUAACUGACGUUGAGGCACGAAAGUGUGGGGAGCGAACAGGAUUAGAUACCCUUGUAGUC
RNAcentral lists this ribosomal RNA (441 nucleotides) under uncultured bacterium. RNAcentral's name for it is "partial 16S ribosomal RNA". It matches the Rfam family "Bacterial small subunit ribosomal RNA", at positions 338 to 795 of the family's 1533-position model. The record is from RNAcentral.